Molecule: ribosomal RNA, 287 nt
Filed under: Escherichia coli
Lineage: Bacteria; Pseudomonadati; Pseudomonadota; Gammaproteobacteria; Enterobacterales; Enterobacteriaceae
Also listed under: 1 other name
Description: partial 16S ribosomal RNA
Rfam family: Bacterial small subunit ribosomal RNA
Source: RNAcentral
AAAUUGAAGAGUUUGAUCAUGGCUCAGAUUGAACGCUGGCGGCAGGCCUAACACAUGCAAGUCGAACGGUAACAGGAAGCAGCUUGCUGCUUCGCUGACGAGUGGCGGACGGGUGAGUAAUGUCUGGGAAACUGCCUGAUGGAGGGGGAUAACUACUGGAAACGGUAGCUAAUACCGCAUAAUGUCGCAAGACCAAAGAGGGGGACCUUCGGGCCUCUUGCCAUCGGAUGUGCCCAGAUGGGAUUAGCUUGUUGGUGGGGUAACGGCUCACCAAGGCGACGAUCCCU